Ailuropoda melanoleuca (giant panda) is the source of this 865-nucleotide long non-coding RNA. RefSeq lists it as uncharacterized. Lineage: Eukaryota; Metazoa; Chordata; Mammalia; Carnivora; Ursidae. The transcript has 3 exons. The record is from RefSeq and is a predicted model, not a curated record.
UCCAGGACCUCAGAAGGCAUAAGGUGACCCCGGUAAGAAAUGUGGCUCUGCGGUACCACAGGCCAGACAAUACACUUGAAGAUGUAAUGUUUGUUCUCCUGAAAACAAGUACGAGAAAGCGUGUACAGCACCAGAGACCUGAAGGAAAAUGGACAGACUUCUCCCUUCGGAAUGUGACAGGCAAUGACACUGGAAACUACAGCUGUAUCUGCUACCAGACAAAGGCUCCUUGGCCUCACAUCCCAGUAACCGCCUCGAAAACUUCGUAACAGGCCCUACAGCUGCCCAGGGGAAAGAUGGGUGUUGAUCGAGUUAUAUCCACUGAACCUGAACAGUUUCAGGGGAACGUGCAUUCUCACCUCUGCUGAGAGCCACUCCAGGACAAGAUGAUGGUUUCCUCUUCUGUACUCCUCACCUGGGGCAGAGGACAGGCCUGGGCAUAAAGAUUAAGCCAACAGAAUAUUAAUUUAUGCAACACAGAACAUCUUUUCCCUACUGUAGGCUCCAGGCCCAGCAUGGAACCCAGUGUGGGGUUUGAACUCAUGACCCUGAGAUCAAGACCUGAGCUGCAAUCAAGAGUCAGACACUUAACCGACUGAGCCACCUAGGCACUCCAACUCCGUCCAUUUUUAAAUUGGGUUGUUAAUCUUCUUGAUAUUGAGCUGUAGGUAUAUAAUCUGGGCACAAGUCCAUUAUUAAUAGACUGUAUUGCAAAUAUUUACCUCAGUCUGUUACUCCUCUCUGCACUUUUUAUUUAUUUGCCAGAGACACAGCAAGAGCGAGCGAGCGAGAGCGCACACGAGCACACAAGCAGGGGGAGCGGCAGGCAGAGGGAGAAGCAGGCUCCCUGGUGAGCAAGGAGCCC